AGUUUUGCCCAAUGGCAGUGUCGUAGCCAGUGAGGUUUAUCCGAGGCACAAUUACUGCUAUUUGAAAACUAUAUUGUCUUUCAUUGAACA
This 90-nucleotide small nuclear RNA is filed under the name Tursiops truncatus (common bottlenose dolphin). RNAcentral's name for it is "U4 spliceosomal RNA (ENSTTRG00000022243.1)". The stretch from base 1 to 79 matches the Rfam family "U4 spliceosomal RNA". From Rfam's summary of the family: U4 small nuclear RNA (U4 snRNA) is a component of the major U2-dependent spliceosome. Lineage: Eukaryota; Metazoa; Chordata; Mammalia; Artiodactyla; Delphinidae. The record is from RNAcentral.